Molecule: ribosomal RNA, 484 nt
Filed under: uncultured bacterium
Lineage: Bacteria
Description: partial 16S ribosomal RNA
Rfam family: Bacterial small subunit ribosomal RNA
Source: RNAcentral
AUUGAACGCUGGCGGCAGGCCUAACACAUGCAAGUCGAGCGGAUGAAGGGAGCUUGCUCCUGGAUUCAGCGGCGGACGGGUGAGUAAUGCCUAGGAAUCUGCCUGGUAGUGGGGGAUAACGUCCGGAAACGGGCGCUAAUACCGCAUACGUCCUGAGGGAGAAAGUGGGGGAUCUUCGGACCUCACGCUAUCAGAUGAGCCUAGGCCGGAUUAGCUAGUUGGUGGGGUAAAGGCCUACCAAGGCGACGAUCCGUAACUGGUCUGAGAGGAUGAUCAGUCACACUGGAACUGAGACACGGUCCAGACUCCUACGGGAGGCAGCAGUGGGGAAUAUUGGACAAUGGGCGAAAGCCUGAUCCAGCCAUGCCGCGUGUGUGAAGAAGGUCUUCGGAUUGUAAAGCACUUUAAGUUGGGAAGAAGGGAAGUAAGUUAAUACCUUGCUGUUUUGACGUUACCAACAGAAUAAGCACCGGCUAACUUCGUG